UUACGGCCAUAUCACGUUGAAACACCUGUUCUCGUACGAUACCCGAAGUUAAGCAACGUCGAGUCUCGUCAGUAUGUAGGUGGGUGAACGCUUGGAAAUAUUGGUGCUGUAA
Molecule: non-coding RNA, 112 nt
Organism: Acanthosepion pharaonis
Lineage: Eukaryota; Metazoa; Mollusca; Cephalopoda; Sepiida; Sepiidae
Source: the annotation of a GenBank genome assembly